CCUACGGGAGGCAGCAGUGGGGAAUCUUAGACAAUGGGGGCAACCCUGAUCUAGCCAUGCCGCGUGAGUGAUGAAGGCCUUAGGGUCGUAAAGCUCUUUCGCCUGUGGUGAUAAUGACAGUAGCAGGUAAAGAAACCCCGGCUAACUCCGUGCCAGCAGCCGCGGUAAUACGGAGGGGGUUAGCGUUGUUCGGAAUUACUGGGCGUAAAGCGCGCGUAGGCGGAUUAGAAAGUUGGGGGUGAAAUCCCGGGGCUCAACCCCGGAACUGCCUCCAAAACUGCUAGUCUAGAGUUCGAGAGAGGUGAGUGGAAUUCCGAGUGUAGAGGUGAAAUUCGUAGAUAUUCGGAGGAGCACCAGUGGCGAAGGCGGCUCACUGGCUCGAUACUGACGCUGAGGUGCGAAAGUGUGGGGAGCAAACAGGAUUAGAUACCCUGGUAGUCCACACCGUAAACGAUGAAUGCCAGUCGUCGGAUAGUAUACUAUUCGGUGACACACCUAACGGAUUAAGCAUUCCGCCUGGGGAGUACGGUCGCAAGAUUAAAACUCAAAGGAAUGACGG
Molecule: ribosomal RNA, 559 nt
Filed under: uncultured bacterium
Lineage: Bacteria
Description: bacterial SSU rRNA
Rfam family: Bacterial small subunit ribosomal RNA
Source: RNAcentral